GUCUGUGUGUCUGUCUAUAUUCUGUCUUUGCCAGGGAUAGACCAGGAAUGGAGUCUUAGAACUUUUAGUACAGGGGACAGGAAGAAAGGGAGAAACAGCUCUUCACUGCUGCUCCAGGGCUGCUGCAAAGAUCCUUGCUACAUUCUGCUGUCACAGAGUCCUUCAAAGAAAACGUAAUUGCCCCAGGUGACUGUGGGAUUCAAGUGCUGCUGAGUCCAGUGCCUCAUCGGGGUGUCAGGGAAAGUUGUGCUGAAGGAAGCGUGGUCUUUUUUGCUGGGGCUGAAGCCAGCUUGACUGUGAUGUGGGAAGCUCCAUCCCUCUCAGGAAUUUCUGUGCUGUCCAGAAGAAUGCCUCCUUCGAUUGGCUGCCUGCCCCACUUGCCUGCCUCCUGGGGAAGAGACACCAAUUAAAGCUGCUGCAGGAAUUAAGCCAAGGUCUCUCCACCCUCUCUCCCCCCCCCUCCACCCUCAGGACCCGACACUGUUCUCAUAGCAGGAAGGAGGGAGCAGAAAGAGCCCCCCCACCCCCCAAGCAGCUCAGAGCAACUCCACUCCCUCCUCCCUUCCCGUGAGCAACAGGAUGGUUCCUCUGCUACUUCCUUCCCCCCUACAGUACCUGGCCUGGAAAGGGGAGGAGAGGAGGGUGAAGAGCCACAGGAUCUCCCCCCUCCCCCAGCCUGGAAGAGGCAGAGGGGACCCUACAGCAGCCCUCUAGGCUUGGGAGAGGGAGGUGAACAACUGGAGGUGAGGCUAGGUGUGGGAAGGGGGCCUGAACUGAUGUGUGGGCAGAAUUGCCAUGGAGGCUGGAUGGGCCCCGGGGGCAGAACUGGUGCAAGCACCAGGAGCAGAGGAUUAAUUUAGAGAUUAAUGGGGUAGCAUUAGUUGCUGGGCAGAUGUGGCAGGGUGAGAACAUCUGUAAGGGGAUCCAAACUGACCUUACCCACUAAAGCCGGGAGAAUUGGCAACACUAAUUGUCUCACGUGCCCUAGGGACGGGGGAGGGGUGUUCAGCAAUCACAAGACCAAAGAAACACAAUAUAAGCUUCAUUAAAAAGAUCUUAUGAUUUUUGGAGGUCCUGACUCAUGGUUUCUGAACCUUUGAGGUUGCCAGUACUAUAUCUGGGGACUGAUAGGAGGUUUAAUUUUACUAUCAUGUGGAAGUGUGAUGUUAAUCUACGUGCUCUGUUUAUACUGACUGGAUCUUUUGGGUAUGUAACAAACAGGCCUGGAAACGGCAAGCUCAGGACAAAAUGCACUUGGCUCAUUGUACGUAAGAAACAUUCUGCUGCAGUUUCUACAAGUCUGUAACAGGGGGCAGCUGCCUCCCAUGUGUCCCCUCAUGGCCAGGGAUGGCUCUGUUUUGAAACCAAUCCUCAGGGUCCCAAAAUAAAGUCCAUCACAGCAACAUGCUCAACAGUGAUGUCUUCUAUCACACCUGG
Molecule: long non-coding RNA, 1437 nt
Organism: Chelonia mydas (Green sea turtle)
Lineage: Eukaryota; Metazoa; Chordata; Testudines; Cheloniidae
Exons: 3
Source: RefSeq, a predicted model, not a curated record